This 400-nucleotide unclassified non-coding RNA is filed under the name uncultured bacterium. RNAcentral describes it as "contains 16S-23S intergenic spacer region". The stretch from base 1 to 127 matches the Rfam family "5.8S ribosomal RNA", at positions 30 to 154 of the family's 154-position model. The record is from RNAcentral.
GCAUCGAUGAAGAACGCAGCGAAAUGCGAUACCUGGUGUGAAUUGCAGAAUCCCGCGAACCAUCGAGUCUUUGAACGCAAGUUGCGCCCGAGGCCACUCGGCCGAGGGCACGCCUGCCUGGGCGUCACGCCAAAACACGCUCCCAACCACCCUCAACGGGAUUCGGGAUGCGGCAUCUGGUCCCUCGUCUCUCAAGGGACGGUGGACCGAAGAUUGGGCUGCCGGCGUACCGCGCCGGACACAGCGCAUGGUGGGCGUCCUCGCUUUAUCAAUGCAGUGCAUCCGGCGCGCAGCUGGCAUUAUGGCCUUUGAACGACCCAACAAACGAAGCGCACGUCGCUUCGACCGCGACCCCAGGUCAGGCGGGACUACCCGCUGAGUUUAAGCAUAUCAAUAAGCG